CGCGUGUAUGUGUGAAUGCGCACACGUCUACGUGUGAGAGCGCGGGUCAAUAAGUUAGCGAUCAGGAAUGAGAGAGAACAGGAGCUACCGUAAAGGCUAAUGUAGAAACGCAAGAAAAUGUAUGCGGCGUAUAAUGCUGGGCAUACACUGUGCGAUUUUGGCCCAUUUUGAGCCCAUUUUUCAGUCAGUCAGACCGUUUUGGUGAUCGGCCCGAGUUUCGCCUUCAUCGUGUGUCGUGCAACGUGUAGUAUACAUCGGGUAACGAGAAGCGAUUAACAAACCAGCUCCCGAUCAUCAAUCGUUUGGUCGUAAGAAAAUCAAACCUGUUUGAAAUGAAGUCGGCCGUCAUGAGGGUGUCAACGCAGCCUCCCACACUGAAAUGAAAGUGAAAAGAUGGAGCAGCACGGCAGUGCAGCGUGUGAUCUGGACACAAGCGAUGGAGGCACAACAUGUAGAACUUUGGCAAGCUCAUCUGAGCCUUUUCGAUGUGGCCUCACAAAAUUAUCACGACACAACAACCGUGAAAAUAGUUGGAUUGUCACUGCUGCUCAAUCACAGCUGCCUGGUCAAUGUUUUUCAUUAGCAAUUUAGCAAAGUUGAUGGUGGUGGUGUGCGUGUCAGUUAAAGACGGAGAAGGAGAGCGAGAGACAGAUUUUGUGUUAUAACCUUCAUGUUAGGGAUGCACAGUGUGAGCACUCAGGUCGCAGACCCUGCAUCGUGACCUACGAACUUCUAACCCCUGCGAGUCAAUCGUACAGUUUGAGCAGGAGCUGAAAAACGCGACUGAAAAAAUCGCACAGUGUAUGCCCAGCUUAAGAGGCGGCUGACUUGACCACGGUGUAAAAACUGCCGUCCUUACCGGAAGUCACUGUCUGAGUAAACACCAUAACAGCCGGGAGUUUCUGUUAUAGUAAGUGAAAAGUUAAGUUUCAUAUUCAUUUUCCGGGACAUCAACUGCUGUCUAUGGCGGCAAAAGAGACCAUACUAUCAGGACCAGUGUCAUAAACUAAACCUGAACUGAAUCUGCGUAGUCGUGGGCAAAUAUUUUUCUUCCCUUGUGCUGACCAGAGUUUGUUUAGGAAGGAGAUAUCUAAUUUUGAAAAAUAAAAAAUGGAGAGAAAAAGUCUGCUUCCAGGAUUUCCACUGGAAAAUUAUGAGAAAGACAAAAAGGAAGAAAAAAGAAUUAGCCUGAAGAAAAGAAAGAGAGUCACGGAUGAUGAAGAUGAGAACAACUUGUGGCGUGUAAAAUGUGGAACCAAAAGGGGCAUCCUAGAUGUAGAGAAGUUGAAAAAAGGUGAGGCAUGUAUUGAGUAUAAAGGCUGCUUGUACAGUCCACCUGAGUUUGAGAAGCUUGCAGGAAAAGAGCCAUGUAGAAAAUGGAAGUCAACUAUUUUCUACAAUGAACUACCUCUGCAGUUUUGGUUUGAGGAAGGCUAUCUAACCACUACAGGAUAUAGACCAAAGAAAAAAAAACGAAAAUCAUGCGACUCAACAGAAGAAAGUGAGGAAGAUCAUGUUGACGAUGAAGAUGAGGAUGAAGAACGGGAAGAUGAGCAUAUGGAUGAAGAGGAUGUUGGUGGUGAUGAGUCUAGCAGUGAGGAUGAUGAGGAUGAAGAAAGUGAUAAUGAUGAAGACGAGACUGCGCCUGCUGUUGCCUCUAACCAUACUGACAGCAGUGAUAUCAAAGAGAGAGUAACAGCUACAAUUCCAACACCUGGAAAACAUGCAUUACAGAUGAAAGAAGUAAAGGGUAUCAUUAACAUCCUUCCUGAGAAGACUAGACAUCAUCCUGACAUGCCAAGAUCUGAAGUCACUGAAAAUCCCAGAGAUGUGGCAAAAAACACAGCAAUCAAACAGCAAAAUGUUAACAAAGAACCUGAAAAGAAACGGAAGAAGACAACAAGCAGCACAAUUUCGACACCUGUGAAACCUGCACUAAAGAUCAAAGAAGAAAAGGGUGUCGUUAAUAGCCUUCCUGAGAGAGCAAGAGAUCAUCCUGACAUGACAAGAUCUGAGGUCACUGAAAAUCCCAGAGAUGUGGCAAAAAACACAGCAAUCAAACAGCAAAAUGUUAAGAAACAACCUGAAAAGAAACUGAAGAAGACAACAAGCAGCACAAUUUCGACACCUGUGAAACCUGCACUAAAGAUCAAAGAAGUAAAGGGCGUCGUUAAUAGCCUUCCUGAGAAGGCUAGACAUCAUCCUGACACGACAAGAUCUGAAGUCACUGAAAAUCCCAGAGAUGUGGCAAAAAACACAGCAAUCAAACAGCAAAAUGUUAAGAAACAACCUGAAGAGGAACUGAAGAAGACAACAAGCAGCACAAUUUCGACACUUGUGAAACCUGCACUAAAGAUCAAAGAAGUAAAGGGUGUGAUUAAAUUCCUUCCUGAGAAGACUAGAGAUCAUCCUGACACGACAAGAUCUGAGGUCACUGAAAAUCCCAGAGAUGUGGCAAAAAACACAGCAAUCAAACAGCAAAAUGUUAAGAAACAACCUGAAGAGGAACCGAAGAAGACAACAAGCAGCACAAUUUCAACACCUGUGAAACCUGCACUAAAGAUCAAAGAAGUAAAGGGCGUCGUUAAUAGCCUUCCUGAGAGAGCAAGAGAUCAUCCUGACAUGACAAGAUCUGAGGUCACUGAAAAUCCCAGAGAUGUGGCAAAAAACACACCAAUCAAACAGCAAAAUGUUAAGAAACAACCUGAAGAGGAACUGCAAGAACGCAAGGAAGAUCAUGUUGAACAUGAAGAUGAGGAUGAAGAACAGGAAGAUGAGCAUAUAGAUGAAGAUGAUGUUGGUGAAGAUGAGCCUAGAGCUGAGAGAGAUGAGGAUGAAGAAGGUGAUAUUGAUGAAGUCGAGACUGCGCCUGCUGUUGCCUCUAACCAUACUGACAGCAGUGAUAUCAAAGAGAGAGUAACAGAUACAAUUCCAACACCUGGAAAACAUGCAUUAGAGAUGAAAGAAGUAAAGGGUAUCAUUAACAUCCUUCCUGAGAAAGCUAUAGAUCAUCCUGGCAUGCCAAGAUCUGAAUUCUCUGGAAAUAACAGAGAUGUUGCAACAAACACAGCAAUCAAACAGCUGAAUGUCAAGAAAGAACCUGAAGAGGAACUGAAAGAACGCAAGGAAGAUCAUGUUGAACAUGAAGAUGAGGAUGAGGAACAGGAAGAUGAGCAUAUAGAUGAAGAUGAUGUUGGUGAAGAUGAGCCUAGAGCUGAGAAAGAUAAGGAUGAAGAAGGUGAUAUUGAUGAAGUCGAGACUGCGCCUGCUGUUGCCUCUAACCAUACUGACAGCAGUGAUAUCAAAGAGAGAGUAACAGCUACAAUUCCAACACCUGGAAAACAUGCAUUAGAGAUGAAAGAAGUAAAGGGUAUCAUUAACAUCCUUCCUGAGAAGACUAGACAUCAUCCUGACAUGCCAAGAUCUGAAGUCAGUGGAAAUAACAAAGAUGUGGCAAAAAACACAGCAAUCAAACAGCAAAAUGUUAAACAACCUGAAGAGGAACUGAAGAAGACAACAAGCAGCACAAUUUCAACACCUGUGAAACCUGCACUAAAGAUCAAAGAAGAAAAGGGUGUCGUUAAUAGCCUUCCUGAGAGAGCAAGAGAUCAUCCUGACAUGACAAGAUCUGAGGUCACUGAAAAUCCCAGAGAUGUGGCAAAAAACACACCAAUCAAACAGCAAAAUGUUAAGAAACAACCUGAAGAGGAACUGCAAGAACGCAAGGAAGAUCAUGUUGAACAUGAAGAUGAGGAUGAGGAACAGGAAGAUGAGCAUAUAGAUGAAGAUGAUGUUGGUGAAGAUGAGCCUAGAGCUGAGAAAGAUGAGGAUGAAGAAGGUGAUAAUGAUGAAGACAAGAGUGUGCCUUCUGUUGCCUCUAACCAUACUGACAGCAGUGAUAUCAAAGAGAGAGUAACAGCUACAAUUCCAACACCUGGACAACAUGCAUUAGAGAUGAAAGAAGUAAAGGGUAUCAUUAACAUCCUUCCUGAGAAGACUAGACAUCAUCCUGACAUGCCAAGAUCUGAAGUCAGUGGAAAUAACAAAGAUGUGGCAAAAAACACAGCAAUCAAACAGCAAAAUGUUAAACAACCUGAAAAGAAACGGAAGAAGACAACAAGCAGCACAAUUUCAACACCUGUGAAACCUGCACUAAAGAUCAAAGAAGUAAAGGGUGUCGUUAAUAGCCUUCCUGAGAAAGCUGGAGAUCAUCCUGACAUGACAAGAUCUGAGGUCACUGAAAAUCCCAGAGAUGUGGCAAAAAACACAGCAAUCAAACAGCAAAAUGUUAAGAAACAACCUGAAGAGAAACUGCGUCCUUCCUGUGAAGCUCUGCCCGUGUCAGAUGAGUGUGAACAUAAAGAUGUCCCCUGCUCUGGCCACAGUGUAGCUGAAGUACAAUCCAUGAUGCCAGAGAUGAGUGUGGACAUGUCAGAGGCCCGGUUGCCUGGGCCCUCAGCCAGCUCUGGCUUGAAUACAAUGGAUCUUGAUCAACUGAAGAGGAAAAAAAUAAAAAUGCAACUGAAGGUUUUAAAAUUACAAGAAGAGUAUUACACUUUGAAAAUAAAAGAACUGAAAAAAUGAGGAUUAAUGUAAAGCUGACAUUGCAGACAAUAAAUUAAAAGAUCGCUGUUUACAUCCACAAACUGACACACGUUAUCUGGAGGUUUCUUGGGUGGAAUGUUACUUUUGACAAAAGCUACAAAAUCAAGUGUGCUGCAUUUAUACACCGUACUUUGUCGUUGCUGUACUCAGGUUUCCUUUAGUAUUGUUGAUUACCAUGUUUUACUUUGUUAUUAGAAUUAAACAAAUAGCUGAUAUUUCCUUCCUGUAAAAUGUGAAUAAACAAUAUUGAUGCUUUUUAUCUGUAAAUUUUGCAAGUGUUAUGAAACUGUGUUUCCUUUGGACUUUGCCCAACCUGUAGUAAUAGUUGUAAGAAGUAGCCUUUAAACAGCAUCGUGCAAUGUCUUGAGCCACAGCUCAUUUCUUUAUGUUUUGCUUCCAAGGAGCAAGAACUUUUAGAAAUUUGCAAGAAAAUAACAAUAUGUGCUCUUUUACUUUGAAGCAUUGUUAGUAAUACAUCAAUCAUAUCUGUGACAGAUGAGCAUAACUGUUUAAAUUCCAAAGAAAUUAGACCCCCCCAAAAAAUUCAUGUAAAUUUGUCCAACCAUAAUGAGAAAAUAUGAAAUGAAUAAAGGAGAGUUACAGUGAUGUGCAAAAGUCUUGAGCCAGGACACGUCAUGCAGAGAUAUGUUAAGUGUCCAGCUAAUAGAUCUUUGGGCAUCAGUUGGUUCCACAAUAAAAAAAAUUCUGCCUAUCAAACUGUGUUAUCUUUGGAAUUUUUCAUAGAUUAAUCUAAAGAAAUUGGAAGAAAUUGUAUGUUUUUGUGACAGGC
Molecule: long non-coding RNA, 5395 nt
Organism: Oreochromis aureus
Lineage: Eukaryota; Metazoa; Chordata; Actinopteri; Cichliformes; Cichlidae
Source: Ensembl